CAAUGCCAGGAGGAGGCACUCACUGAUGGAGCUGCUGUUUGACAUCUGCUGCUCUUGACACAGGGACCUGUCCAAGGAGGAUGACAAGAAGAUAUGUUAGAAAAGCCUGCAGAGGAGUCAGUCCCGCUCUAUACCUUUGGGCACAUGGAAGUUUCCACCAGUCUCUUCUGUAUCUGAAAGGGAAUGAUUUCUGUGGUUGUGUCGCUUAAUUUUGAUAGAAUAGACCCUGUCUUCAAAUGACUGUGAAAUAUCACGAUUUUUCCAGUUCCUGCAUGAGUUGGACUAGACGACCUUUGGGAGUCCCUUCCAAUUCUAAGGAUUCUGUGAUCCUAUGAUUCUAUCUACGAGAAAAGUAAUCUACAGCCUUAGUAUGCAUGCUUCCUCUGAUGAAAGUAAGCUUCUCACCUUGCGCUCCAGGACACAAGAAGUCAUCUCGGUGUCUACUUAAGUGUCUU
RNAcentral lists this long non-coding RNA (455 nucleotides) under Gallus gallus (chicken). The record is from RNAcentral. Lineage: Eukaryota; Metazoa; Chordata; Aves; Galliformes; Phasianidae.